GACGAACGCUGGCGGCGUGCUUAACACAUGCAAGUCGAACGAUGAACCUCGAAAUGAUUUCUUCGGAAAGAUUUUUGAGAGGAUUAGUGGCGAACGGGUGAGUAACGCGUGAGCAACCUGCCUUAGACAAGGGGAUAGCCUCGGGAAACCGUGAUUAAUACCCUAUGAGACUCCACUUACGAGUGUAAGAGAAGUUAAAGCUAUUGCGGUCUAAGAUGGGCUCGCGUCUGAUUAGCUAGUUGGUGAGAUAAAAUCCCACCAAGGCGACGAUCAGUAACCGGCUUGAGAGAGUGAACGGUCACAUUGGAACUGAGACACGGUCCAAACUCCUACGGGAGGCAGCAGUGGGGAAUAUUGCACAAUGGGGGCAACCCUGAUGCAGCGACGCCGCGUGAGCGAUGAAGGAAUUCGUUUCGUAAAGCUCUGUCCUUGGAGAAGAUAAUGACGGUAACCAAGGAGGAAGCACCGGCUAAAUACGUG
This 480-nucleotide ribosomal RNA is filed under the name uncultured bacterium. RNAcentral's name for it is "partial 16S ribosomal RNA". It matches the Rfam family "Bacterial small subunit ribosomal RNA", at positions 28 to 507 of the family's 1533-position model. The record is from RNAcentral.